RNAcentral lists this ribosomal RNA (254 nucleotides) under uncultured bacterium. RNAcentral's name for it is "partial 16S ribosomal RNA". It matches the Rfam family "Bacterial small subunit ribosomal RNA", at positions 524 to 776 of the family's 1533-position model. The record is from RNAcentral.
UACGUAGGGCGCAAGCGUUGUCCGGAAUUAUUGGGCGUAAAGAGCUCGUAGGCGGUCUGUCGCGUCCGUUGUGAAAACUCGAGGCUCAACCUCGGGCUUGCAGUGGAUACGGGCAGACUAGAGUGCGGUAGGGGGAGACUGGAAUUCCUGGUGUAGCGGUGGAAUGCGCAGAUAUCAGGAGGAACACCGAUGGCGAAGGCAGGUCUCUGGGCCGCAACUGACGCUGAGGAGCGAAAGCAUGGGGAGCGAACAGG